This is a non-coding RNA of Megalops atlanticus (tarpon), 76 nucleotides long. The record is from the annotation of a GenBank genome assembly. NCBI's taxonomy places the organism in Eukaryota, Metazoa, Chordata, Actinopteri, Elopiformes, Megalopidae.
GGCAGUGUAGCAUAGUGGUAAGGAGCAGGGCUCAUAACCAAUAGGGUUGCUGGUUCGAAUCCCCCGGGCACUGCUG